This 201-nucleotide ribosomal RNA is filed under the name uncultured bacterium. Its description in RNAcentral is "partial 16S ribosomal RNA". It matches the Rfam family "Bacterial small subunit ribosomal RNA", at positions 1300 to 1500 of the family's 1533-position model. The record is from RNAcentral.
GCAGGCUGCAACCCGCCUGCGUGAAGUUGGAAUCGCUAGUAAUCGCGGAUCAGCAUGCCGCGGUGAAUACGUUCCCGGGCCUUGUACACACCGCCCGUCACACCAUGAGAGUCGGGAACACCCGAAGUCCGUAGCCUAACAGCAAUGGGGGCGCGGCCGAAGGUGGGUUCGAUAAUUGGGGUGAAGUCGUAACAAGGUAAC